UGUGUCUUUGCACGUGCUGUUCCUUCUGCCUGAAGGCUCUUCCCUUGAUAUUCUCAUCAUAGCUCACUCACUGGCUUCCUUUAGCUCUGCUCAAAUGCACUUCUUUAGAGAGACCUUCUGGACCAGCUCAAAAAGCAUUCCCAUCACUCGUUAUUGCCUUCCAUGUAUCAUUUGUUUUCAUAACACUUAUCAUCAACUGAUGAAUUGUAUACAUAUACAAUUAUAUAUAUGUUACAUAUAAUUUACUGUAUGUUUUAGAUCAGUUUUGGGUUCACAGCAAAAUUAAGAGGAAGACACAGAGAUUUCCCAUAUGCCCCUUCCCUGACACAUGCACAGCCUCCUCCAUAUCAACAUCCUCCACCAGAGUGGCACAUUUGUUACCAUUGAUGACCCUACAUUGGCAUACCCUCAUCACACAAAGUUUAUAGCUUAUCUUAGGGUUCAUUCUUGGUGUUCAUUCUGUGGGUUUGGAUAAAUAUAUGAUGACAAGUAUCCACCAUUUUAGUAUCAUACAGAGUGUUUUCACUGCCCUAAAAGCCCUCUGUGCUCUACCUGUGCAUCCCUUCUUCCUCCAACCCUUGGCAACCACUUAUCUUUUUACUGUCUCUAUAGUUUUGCCUUUUUGAGUGUCAUGAAGUUGAAUUCAUCAGUUAUGCAGCCUUUUCAGAUUGGCUUCAUUCACUUAGCAGUAUACAUUUAAGUUUCCUCAAUGUCUUCACAGCUUGAUGAGCCAUUACUUUGUAGUGCUGAAUAAUAUUCCAUUGUCUCGAUGUACCAGAGUUUAUUUGUCCAUUCACCUACUGAAGGACAUCUUGGUUGCUUCACAAGUUUUGGAGCAUAAAGGUAUUUUUAUUUAUUUCAGUCUUCUCUGCCUGGAUUGUUUUGGGUUUUAUUGGAUAAGUUUUCCUAGAAAUGCUUUGUAAUUUAAUUGUAGAUUAUCUUUUUUUUUCCCCAAUGAUGUUGUUGCCUCUUUUUUGGCACUAGAUGGUGCCUUAAGCCCAGGGUUGCCUCAGUUGUAGUAAACAACCAGAGUGCUGCCCAUUCCAAAUGGGAGAGAUCUCAAAGGGGACAUCCUGGCAGUGUGGGAAGGCUGGCUAAGAGUUUAUGCCCAGGGGACCUGUGGAACAAACCUUCCACAGUGUAGUGCUGCUGCACAGCCACACUAAUUUGGCAUUUCCUUUGGCCUAGUUACAUAGUAAAGCUUCAGGGUCUGGGAAUGGUAAUACCCCCACCUUUGUCACUGGCUGUAAUCAGGGUUAUUUCUCCUUUCAGGCACUCCUGAUGCUUCCCAUGGGUUGAGACAGGGACUGUUGUAGUAGGGAGCCCAAGUUGGUAAAGAAGCUGGUUGUGCACCUCAGUCUCACUUUUUCCAGUGUAGAAACUGUGAGUCAGGGAGAAAUUUUUCUCAUGCUUGGUGCUGUGCCAGGCAGACUUGGAGGGAAGGGUGUCAUGGAUACGGUAGUCCUUUUACUAUCUGCCCCGAGUGAUUUCACAGCUCUGUUGCCCUGGGAACUGUCUCAUUCUGAUAUUUGAGUUCUGGGAUAUUGCUGGCAAUAAUCUCAGUACUGUGUAUUUGUUUUUGGUUUUUGUGGGGAGAGUGAAACCAGCUUGCUUUUACUCUGCCAUUUUGAAAUCAAAAGUCCUAUUAUACUAUCUUGAUUACUUUAGUAGUGUUAUUAAUCCAACUUUAUUCUUUUUGUUCAAAAAUUGUUUUAGCUAUCCUAAUUCCUUUUCCUUUUCACCUGAAAUUUAGAAUCAGCAUGUGUACAUAUAUGGCUGAACUUUUUAUUGGAACUGCAGUAAAUUUAUAAAUGUGUUUGGGGAAAAUUUUCAUUCUUACUAUGUUGAGUUUUCCAAUCAAUGAACAUUGUGUAUCUCUGCUUUUAUCUAGAUCUUUGAUUUCUUUGAUUUCUUUCAUCUGUGUUUCAUAGUUUUCAGCAUAUAGAUCCUGUGAACAAUCAUAAAUGCUGUUUUUUUAACAUUCAGUUUCAAAUUAUAAUUCCUAGUAUAUAGAAAUGAUUGAUUUUUAUAAACAAUUAUUUUUCAGUAAAAAUAAGUGACUUUUCUUUAUAGACUGUUUCUGAAGGAUUCUACUUUAUGUUCAUGGAAAUUACACUCUUUUAAUCCUGAGAUUUUAUGGAUUGCUGAAGUAUAUAAUUAAAUUGUGUAGUCAUUAUAAUAUGUACAGGUGGCAGAAACAGGUUGGGAACAAACCCAAUCAACUCUUGGUAAGCAUACAAAUAAAACAGGAAGAGCAAAAGUAUAUCAGUGUAUCACAGUAGACUACUGGGCUAUAGGGAUUCAGCAUGGUCAUGAAAAAAUAGAGUAAACAGAAGGUCAGUCAGUUAAUCUGGAGAGUCAGCUAAGCGAAGGUCAUUUAAGAGAGCUUCUACUGAAAGAUCUACACAAAAGAGACAAGAAGGCAAUAGAAAGGCCCAGUUCCUAUGAUUGCAUUUAAACAUAAAACUAAUGCUAUAUCUUGAGAACAUAAGAAACAUAUUUUAUACUCGUCACAAUAUAUCUACUGAAGGAGCACUUAUAAAGAAGGAAAAAUAGCUAUUACAAUCAUGUUUUUGAAAAAUAAUGAUGGUAGGAAAGAUCAUAAUUAUAAUACUAAGUGAAAAAAAUCUUAGGAUACAAAAAUGUUAUGUACAAUACAAUAUUACUCCCAAUUAUACAAAAAAGUAUUUUUAGAAGAAAGACGAAAAAUACAUCGAAAUGUUUAUAAUAAUUAUGUAUGGCUGUUGGGAUAUGGUUGGCAUUUAUUUACUUGUUUUUGCUGUUUUUACAUUUUUACAGCUUUUACAAUGCCUAUGGGUUAUUUUUACAAUCAGAAGAAGUGUCAUUUUUAAAAGAAGAAGAAUUCUUUCUAUACUUUAUUUGCCUCAUUGAGAUAUCUGACAACAGUAUCCUCAUUGUUCUCUUUUGUUGUAAUGAAAAACCAUUUCAGGAUUUUGGCAUUUCCCACCAAUUCCCUAUGCCUUUUAAGGAACCAAGCAAGCUUCAGUAGUCUCUGCCAUUUGAUAAGUUACAUUAAUGAUUAUGACAACAAUAAUUGUACAGGCUUUGCAAAGCUAUUUAUUUAAUAAAAUCAUUACUAUAAAGACUUUAAAGAACUACAAGCAAGGGUCAGGGCCAACUUCAUGAUUGUCCCCUUCAUAGUCAUCCAAGUCUUCAAUUUAGCUAAGGUCACAAGCCCCAUGUAGAGAGUCAAACCAGAAACCAUUAAAUACAGUUAUUUCACUCUUUCUCCUCAUUUCCUUGCAUAGGCUAACCUUAGAGUUUGCUGGCAGGUGCUAGAGUUAUACAUAAAAUUCCAGAUCAAUAGCCGGGGAAUUUAAAAAGAAGGUGCAGAACAUCAUACAGAAUCUAAGGCUAUUCUCUCUCCCAGUUAGUGGUUCUUUUCUUUGUCGGUUUUCUUAAAUGAGUGGUUCUUAACCUUUCCUGGAUCAUAAUAUUUUCAGUCAUUUUAUGUAGACACUCAAAUUUCCCUAAAUUCUUGCAUCAACAAAUCCAUUCCCUCCCCCAAAUCUAUUACCAAUGCACUGGAUUUAUUACAGGCACAUGUUUCACGUCAGUCCCCCAUAGGUAGCUUUAGCUCAGGCUCUAUCUCCUCUCACCUUCACUGUGCCAGUAGCCUCCGAAGUGGGCUCCCUAACUCUAGUCUCCUGAGUAGCAUCCAUCUUCCAC
This 3690-nucleotide long non-coding RNA is filed under the name Homo sapiens (human). Its description in RNAcentral is "non-protein coding lnc-C6orf201-18:1". The record is from RNAcentral. Lineage: Eukaryota; Metazoa; Chordata; Mammalia; Primates; Hominidae.